GACGAACGCUGGCGGCGUGCUUAAUACAUGCAAGUCAACUGAACUUGAGAUAGCAAUAUUUUAAGGGAGGUGGCGCACGGGUGAGUAACACGUAGGUAAUCUGCCUUUAGGUCUGACACAACCCCGAGAAAUCGGGGCUAAUAUCAGAUGAUGCAGCGGCUCGACAUCGAGACAGUUGUUAAACCUUCGGGGCCGUAGAGAUGAGCCUGCGUCUGAUUAGGUAGUUGGCGGAGUAAAAGACCCACCAAGCCUGCGAUCAGUAGCUGGUCUGAGAGGAUGAUCAGCCACACUGGAACUGAGACACGGUCCAGACUCCUACGGGAGGCAGCAGUAAGGAAUAUUGCUCAAUGGCCGAAAGGCUGAAGCAGCAACGCCGCGUGGAGGAUGAAAUACUUUUGUAUGUAAACUCCUGUAAGAAGGG
RNAcentral lists this ribosomal RNA (421 nucleotides) under uncultured bacterium. Its description in RNAcentral is "bacterial SSU rRNA". It matches the Rfam family "Bacterial small subunit ribosomal RNA", at positions 28 to 444 of the family's 1533-position model. The record is from RNAcentral.